UGUGCCAGCAGCCGCGGUAAUACGUAUGUCACAAGCGUUAUCCGGAUUUAUUGGGCGUAAAGCGCGUCUAGGUGGUUAUGUAAGUCUGAUGUGAAAAUGCAGGGCUCAACUCUGUAUUGCGUUGGAAACUGUGUAACUAGAGUACUGGAGAGGUAAGCGGAACUACAAGUGUAGAGGUGAAAUUCGUAGAUAUUUGUAGGAAUGCCGAUGGGGAAGCCAGCUUACUGGACAGAUGCUGACGCUGAAGCGCGAAAGCGUGGGUAGCAAACAGGAUUAGAUA
This 280-nucleotide ribosomal RNA is filed under the name uncultured Fusobacteriaceae bacterium. Its description in RNAcentral is "partial 16S ribosomal RNA". It matches the Rfam family "Bacterial small subunit ribosomal RNA", at positions 504 to 784 of the family's 1533-position model. Lineage: Bacteria; Fusobacteriati; Fusobacteriota; Fusobacteriia; Fusobacteriales; Fusobacteriaceae. The record is from RNAcentral.